RNAcentral lists this ribosomal RNA (439 nucleotides) under uncultured bacterium. RNAcentral describes it as "partial 16S ribosomal RNA". It matches the Rfam family "Bacterial small subunit ribosomal RNA", at positions 339 to 795 of the family's 1533-position model. The record is from RNAcentral.
CUACGGGCGACAGCAGUGAGGAAUAUUGCACAAUGGGGGGAACCCUGAUGCAGCAACGCCGCGUGGAGGAUGACGCAUUUCGGUGUGUAAACCCCUUUUAUAUGUCAAGAAAAUGACGGUAGCAUAUGAAUAAGCACCGGCUAACUCCGUGCCAGCAGCCGCGGUAAUACGGAGGGUGCAAGCGUUACUCGGAAUCACUGGGCGUAAAGGACGCGUAGGCGGGUUGGAAAGUCAGGUGUGAAAUCCUACAGCUUAACUGUAGAACUGCACUUGAAACUUCUAAUCUAGAGUAUGGGAGGGGGAGAUGGAAUUAGUGGUGUAGGGGUAAAAUCCGUAGAUAUCACUAGGAAUACCUAAAGCGAAGGCGAUCUCCUGGAACAUUACUGACGCUAAGGCGUGAAAGCGUGGGGAGCAAACAGGAUUAGAUACCCCCGUAGUC